This 303-nucleotide ribosomal RNA is filed under the name uncultured bacterium. RNAcentral describes it as "bacterial SSU rRNA". It matches the Rfam family "Bacterial small subunit ribosomal RNA", at positions 355 to 650 of the family's 1533-position model. The record is from RNAcentral.
UGGGGAAUUUUGCGCAAUGCUCGUAAGAGUGACGCAGCGACGCCGCGUGAAUGACGAAGGCCUUCGGGUCGUAAAGUUCUUUCGACAGGGAAGAAAAUGCCUAUAAGUAACUGUGUAUGUAUUGACGGUACCUGUAUAAGCAGCCCCGGCUAACUCCGUGCCAGCAGCCGCGGUAAUACGGAGGGGGCGAGCGUUGUUCGGAGUGACUGGGCGUAAAGAGCACGUAGGCGGUGUUGUAAGUCAUUAGUCAAAGACUAGAGCUCAACUUUAGUAAGGCUAGUGAUACUAUAAUACUAGAGUAUC